UUUUCGCUGUAAGAUGAGUCCGCGUAAGAUUAGCUAGUUGGUGAGGUAAUGGCUCACCAAGGCGACGAUCUUUAACUGGUCUGAGAGGAUGAUCAGUCACACUGGAACUGAGACACGGUCCAGACUCCUACGGGAGGCAGCAGUAGGGAAUAUUGCACAAUGGAGGAAACUCUGAUGCAGCGACGCCGCGUGAGUGAUGAAGGCCUUCGGGUCGUAAAGCUCUGUCGCAGGGGAAUAACACAAUGAAUGUACCCUGUAAGAAAGGAUCGGCUAACUUCGUGCCAGCAGCCGCGGUAAGACGAGGGAUCCUAGCGUUGUUCGGAAUUAUUGGGCGUAAAGCGGAUGUAGGUGGCUUUGUAAGUCAGAUGUGAAAGCCCAGGGCUCAACCCUGGAAGUGCAUUUGAUACUGCGAAGCUUGAGUGUCGGAGAGGUUACUAGAAUUGUUGGUGUAGUGGUGAAAUACGUAGAUAUCAACAGGAAUACCGAAGGCGAAA
This 494-nucleotide ribosomal RNA is filed under the name Bdellovibrio bacteriovorus. Its description in RNAcentral is "bacterial SSU rRNA". It matches the Rfam family "Bacterial small subunit ribosomal RNA", at positions 212 to 720 of the family's 1533-position model. Lineage: Bacteria; Pseudomonadati; Bdellovibrionota; Bdellovibrionia; Bdellovibrionales; Pseudobdellovibrionaceae. The record is from RNAcentral.